RNAcentral lists this ribosomal RNA (414 nucleotides) under Streptomyces sp. MBT41. Its description in RNAcentral is "bacterial SSU rRNA". It matches the Rfam family "Bacterial small subunit ribosomal RNA", at positions 99 to 527 of the family's 1533-position model. The record is from RNAcentral. Lineage: Bacteria; Bacillati; Actinomycetota; Actinomycetes; Kitasatosporales; Streptomycetaceae.
GCGACGGGUGAGUACACGUGGGCAAUCUGCCCUUCACUCUGGGACAAGCCCUGGAAACGGGGUCUAAUACCGGAUAAUACCUUCUCGGGCAUCUGAGGGGGUUGAAAGCUCCGGCGGUGAAGGAUGAGCCCGCGGCCUAUCAGCUUGUUGGUGGGGUGAUGGCCUACCAAGGCGACGACGGGUAGCCGGCCUGAGAGGGCGACCGGCCACACUGGGACUGAGACACGGCCCAGACUCCUACGGGAGGCAGCAGUGGGGAAUAUUGCACAAUGGGCGAAAGCCUGAUGCAGCGACGCCGCGUGAGGGAUGACGGCCUUCGGGUUGUAAACCUCUUUCAGCAGGGAAGAAGCGCAAGUGACGGUACCUGCAGAAGAAGCACCGGCUAACUACGUGCCAGCAGCCGGAGGUAAUACG